Molecule: ribosomal RNA, 1508 nt
Filed under: Klebsiella sp. ok1_1_9_S36
Lineage: Bacteria; Pseudomonadati; Pseudomonadota; Gammaproteobacteria; Enterobacterales; Enterobacteriaceae
Description: bacterial SSU rRNA
Rfam family: Bacterial small subunit ribosomal RNA
Source: RNAcentral
AUUGAACGCUGGCGGCAGGCCUAACACAUGCAAGUCGAGCGGUAGCACAGAGAGCUUGCUCUCGGGUGACGAGCGGCGGACGGGUGAGUAAUGUCUGGGAAACUGCCUGAUGGAGGGGGAUAACUACUGGAAACGGUAGCUAAUACCGCAUAAUGUCGCAAGACCAAAGUGGGGGACCUUCGGGCCUCAUGCCAUCAGAUGUGCCCAGAUGGGAUUAGCUAGUAGGUGGGGUAACGGCUCACCUAGGCGACGAUCCCUAGCUGGUCUGAGAGGAUGACCAGCCACACUGGAACUGAGACACGGUCCAGACUCCUACGGGAGGCAGCAGUGGGGAAUAUUGCACAAUGGGCGCAAGCCUGAUGCAGCCAUGCCGCGUGUGUGAAGAAGGCCUUCGGGUUGUAAAGCACUUUCAGCGGGGAGGAAGGCGGUAAGGUUAAUAACCUCAUCGAUUGACGUUACCCGCAGAAGAAGCACCGGCUAACUCCGUGCCAGCAGCCGCGGUAAUACGGAGGGUGCAAGCGUUAAUCGGAAUUACUGGGCGUAAAGCGCACGCAGGCGGUCUGUCAAGUCGGAUGUGAAAUCCCCGGGCUCAACCUGGGAACUGCAUUCGAAACUGGCAGGCUAGAGUCUUGUAGAGGGGGGUAGAAUUCCAGGUGUAGCGGUGAAAUGCGUAGAGAUCUGGAGGAAUACCGGUGGCGAAGGCGGCCCCCUGGACAAAGACUGACGCUCAGGUGCGAAAGCGUGGGGAGCAAACAGGAUUAGAUACCCUGGUAGUCCACGCCGUAAACGAUGUCGAUUUGGAGGUUGUGCCCUUGAGGCGUGGCUUCCGGAGCUAACGCGUUAAAUCGACCGCCUGGGGAGUACGGCCGCAAGGUUAAAACUCAAAUGAAUUGACGGGGGCCCGCACAAGCGGUGGAGCAUGUGGUUUAAUUCGAUGCAACGCGAAGAACCUUACCUGGUCUUGACAUCCACAGAACUUUCCAGAGAUGGAUUGGUGCCUUCGGGAACUGUGAGACAGGUGCUGCAUGGCUGUCGUCAGCUCGUGUUGUGAAAUGUUGGGUUAAGUCCCGCAACGAGCGCAACCCUUAUCCUUUGUUGCCAGCGGUCCGGCCGGGAACUCAAAGGAGACUGCCAGUGAUAAACUGGAGGAAGGUGGGGAUGACGUCAAGUCAUCAUGGCCCUUACGACCAGGGCUACACACGUGCUACAAUGGCAUAUACAAAGAGAAGCGACCUCGCGAGAGCAAGCGGACCUCAUAAAGUAUGUCGUAGUCCGGAUUGGAGUCUGCAACUCGACUCCAUGAAGUCGGAAUCGCUAGUAAUCGUAGAUCAGAAUGCUACGGUGAAUACGUUCCCGGGCCUUGUACACACCGCCCGUCACACCAUGGGAGUGGGUUGCAAAAGAAGUAGGUAGCUUAACCUUCGGGAGGGCGCUUACCACUUUGUGAUUCAUGACUGGGGUGAAGUCGUAACAAGGUAACCGUAGGGGAACCUGCGGCUGGAUCACCU